This is a long non-coding RNA of Serinus canaria (Common canary), 2673 nucleotides long. RefSeq lists it as uncharacterized. Lineage: Eukaryota; Metazoa; Chordata; Aves; Passeriformes; Fringillidae. The transcript has 5 exons. The record is from RefSeq and is a predicted model, not a curated record.
GCUGCAGGGGCUGCGGGCUGUUCUGGCAACACCCCAGCCCACUGUGCCACUGUGGAGCAAAAAUCUUCUCUUAGGAUAAGAAAUAUGUGCAUGUACAUGCACUCAUGUACACAAACAGGCUCUAGGGGGAAGGUUAAUGCCUCUGUAUGAAUCUCUGCAGGCAUUUCCUACUGGGAACAUUUCCCAGUUUAGAAAAACAUGUCAUGGAGGGUGCUGCAGCUCUCCUGUCUUGGCAUGUUCCUCCCUCUUUUGUGAGCCCUGUCCAGGAGCAGAGCUCUGGCUUCUGGAGGCUGCACAGGUCAUCAGGAGCACACAGAAGAGCUAUUUCUGCCAUCCCCUCUCUUUCUGCUACCCAGGCAUGCUGACAGCUCUUCAAUGCUUGCAUAAGAGGGUAGCUGAUAAACAAAUGUGCAUGGCUUUGUGGUGACUCUUGGGAUAUGCAGUACAUGGGAAAAUGCUCCUAGCUGCUUCCAGACUCAUAGAUGGAGUGCAUUUCUUUGUCUUCAGAAGCUGUGUGUGAAGAACCUCCUGGAAUGUGUCCUAGAAAAGUCCCUGGCUUGACUGGGAUGGAGACAGCCAGUGGAGAGGGUGUGGUUUCCUGUGGGAGAGUCCUCACAAAAUACCCAUCAGAACUGGAAAAUGUUGCAGGUGGUGGAGGUUUACUCUUCCAGAGUUAAAUCCACAGGGUUAAAUGCUGUCAACCUGUUCUGAGUCUGGGGUUUGGAAAAAAUCUGUCUGAUGCCUGGCAAAUAGGAGUCUACAUGGAACAAAACAAGUCUUGUCACUUGCCAGCUUUGCCAGAAAAGCCCAUGGGAGGGUUGGGCCUUGGAGUUUUAAGCAGCUUUUCUCUCUCAGAAGCAAUCUGCCUCAUGUCAAAGGAUUUCCCCAGAGGAGACCGCGUAGUGUGCAGACAGGAAGCCGAAGUAUCGAGCUCUGACCAGAGCUUCCUCCUGCACAGGAGUGGGGCUUUCUCUGACUCGAGCCUUCGACUCUGCUGCGUGCUCUGAGCCUUGAAACCUAAAGGAUGAACAGCACCCAGAUGUCCCAGCUGAGCCCUCCGAGCACGGCGAAGGGAGCACUUCAGCGUGCCCCUUUUGCAAGGUCAGCACAGCAGGUCUCACCUCUGCUGGCUGUGUUGCCUUCCUGGCUCCUUCAAGGUCAGCACAGCAGGUCUCACCUCUGCUGGCUCUGUUACCUUCCUGGCUCCUUCAAGGUCAGCACAGCAGGUCUCACCUCUGCUGGCUCUGUUACCUUCCUGGCUCCUUAUCAGCCCGGGAAUCAGAGAGGGACUUUCCAGAGCUGAGAACUUGUGAGCUGAAGAGAUGGAAUGAACCCAUAUGCAAAUCAGUUUUGAUUCCCUUCCCUAUAUAAAGUUAAAAUGUUUUUGAGAGAGAAUCAGAUCCUGUGGAGUGUGGGAGUCCGAGGAGGUUACCUUGAGCUGGCAGUGCCUCUGUCCCUGCUGUCUGUCCGUCUGUCUGCCUUUCCAUUGUAGACAACAAAGUGCAGAAUAGAAAACAAGAAAUGCAAACCUGUGCUGAUUGAAAUGGAGGAAGGAAAAUGGAAGAGAAAAAGCUGAAGAGUGGGAAAAAGAUAAAAUAAAAUGAAUUUUGGGGAUUCCACUGUGAGUAAGAGCCGAAAAAAAUGUAAGCUGGUUUAUUACAUGUUUGUCUUCUGCCUGAGUGCCAGUACACUUUGUAUAUGUGAAAGGUAAUUUGCACAUUAAAGAUUGAAUCAAAAUGCCAACUUCUUCCUCAAUUCCUCCAGUUUUGAACCAGGACAGAUCUGUCGGCUUUGAUGGGUUCUGUAAAUGCAACAUAAUGAAUAUCAAGUCUUUGAAGUAAUUUUGAGUUAUACUUAUGCUAAAGCAAUGAGAAGUUUUGGAUGACUUUUAAAUACUGUUGUGUCACGGAAUCUGCACAUUUUCUAGUGCUUCUCUUCACCAUGCAGGAAUUUUUUUCUCUUGCCCUUCUAAUGCUGUUGUGACUUUAUUCCAAAUCCAGUGGAAUUCAGAAAUAAGGGGUGGUGGUAUCAUUAUGUGCAUUAAUAUUUUCCUUGAAUUAUGAUUUAUAUAUAUAUUAAUUUUUUAAUUUUAAAUCUCUGUCUUAACCCACUUAAUAACAGCUAUUUAAACAGGGAGAGGAUGUGAGUUAAUUGAUGUAUGUAUUUUUUUCUUUUCCUCAAAUUCUCCUGAUUUAGAAAUGACAACAUUUGGUUGUAACAGAAGAGUUUGGCUGUCCCUGGUUUUCUUUCACAGCAAUUCUUUACUUUUUUGAAAUGGUUUAUUUUGAUUUUUUUAUGUGCUUUUAGCUUAUCUAAGCAUCCAAAUUUGCUUUGCAGCAUGGAAAAAUGGGAUGGAGAAAUCUCCACUCUUCUGUGGUGGAUUUCCAACAAAUUCCCUGUUGGGUUUGUGCAGGGAAGGGUUUCUGGAGUUUGCAGGAUAAGGCAGCUCCCCUCCCUUCACUAGAGUGAUUAGAGACAGGCAGUUACUCUUUCAUUUUUCUGAUUACUUUGAAAAAUGCAGUUUCACUGAACUGAAAUUAUUUACAAAGCUCACCAGAGUGCAGCAAAUAGUCUUGGGUAAAUAAUCAAAAAGUAAAUUUACUUUAACAUUUUGAGAAUUAAACUUUCAUUUUUUUCUUAAAAAAAAAGCUUUGCAUUUUUUAAAUUUCUCAC